RNAcentral lists this ribosomal RNA (630 nucleotides) under uncultured Prochlorococcus sp. Its description in RNAcentral is "bacterial SSU rRNA". It matches the Rfam family "Bacterial small subunit ribosomal RNA", at positions 807 to 1437 of the family's 1533-position model. Lineage: Bacteria; Bacillati; Cyanobacteriota; Cyanophyceae; Synechococcales; Prochlorococcaceae. The record is from RNAcentral.
CGAUGAACACUAGGUGUCGGGGGAAUCGACCCCCUCGGUGUCGUAGCCAACGCGUUAAGUGUUCCGCCUGGGGAGUACGCACGCAAGUGUGAAACUCAAAGGAAUUGACGGGGGCCCGCACAAGCGGUGGAGUAUGUGGUUUAAUUCGAUGCAACGCGAAGAACCUUACCAGGGUUUGACAUCCUGCGAACCUCUAAGAAAUUGGAGGGUGCCUUCGGGAACGCAGUGACAGGUGGUGCAUGGCUGUCGUCAGCUCGUGUCGUGAGAUGUUGGGUUAAGUCCCGCAACGAGCGCAACCCACGUUUUUAGUUGCCAGCAUUCAGUUGGGCACUCUAGAGAGACCGCCGGUGAUAAACCGGAGGAAGGUGUGGAUGACGUCAAGUCAUCAUGCCCCUUACAUCCUGGGCUACACACGUACUACAAUGCUACGGACAAAGGGCAGCAAACUCGCGAGAGCAAGCAAAUCCCAUAAACCGUGGCUCAGUUCAGAUCGUAGGCUGCAACUCGCCUACGUGAAGGAGGAAUCGCUAGUAAUCGCAGGUCAGCAUACUGCGGUGAAUACGUUCCCGGGCCUUGUACACACCGCCCGUCACACCAUGGAAGUUGGCCACGCCCGAAGUCGUUACUCCA